This 468-nucleotide ribosomal RNA is filed under the name uncultured bacterium. RNAcentral's name for it is "partial 16S ribosomal RNA". It matches the Rfam family "Bacterial small subunit ribosomal RNA", at positions 28 to 507 of the family's 1533-position model. The record is from RNAcentral.
GACGAACGCUGGCGGCGUGCUUAACACAUGCAAGUCGAACGGAAAGGCCCUGCUUUUGUGGGGUGCUCGAGUGGCGAACGGGUGAGUAACACGUGAGUAACCUGCCCUUGAUUUUGGGAUAACUUCAGGAAACUGGGGCUAAUAUCGGAUAGGAGCUCCUGCUGCAUGGUGGGGGGUGGAAAGUUUCGGCGGGUGGGGAUGGACUCGCGGCUUAGCAGUUUGUUGGUGGGGUAGUGGCAUACCAAGCCUUUGACGGGUCGCCGGCCUGUGAGGGUGACCGGCCACAUUGGGACUGAGAUACGGCCCAGACUCCUACGGGAGGCAGCAGUGGGGAAUAUUACACAAUGGGCGGAAGCCUGAUGCAGCAACGCCGCGUGCGGGAUGACGGCCUGCGGGUUGUAAACCGCUUUCGCCUGUGACGAAGCGUUAGUGACGGUAAUGGGUAAAGAAGCACCGGCUAACUACGUG